AAAUUCUGGCAAUCGCUCCCGCACUAGAGGCGGGAGAGGAAAGUCCAUGCUCACACGGAUCUGAGAUGACCGUAGUGAUCGCGCCCAGCGAAACAAUAAGCUGGGGCAGCAUUUUUAUGCUGACGGCGGGUAGAACGCCUAAGUCUUCGGAUAUGGCCGAAAUACCCUGAAGGUGCCACAGUGACGGAGCUGUCUAGGAAACUAUGCAGGUGGAACGAGGUAAACCCCGCGAGUGAGAAACCCAAAUUAUGGUAGGGGCACUUUUCCAAGGGAAUUGAACCGACGGAAGAGGCGGAGUGAAUCUGCAGAUAGAUGAUUGCCAUCCGCCAGUACGAGGCUUCGGCUGUUUGAGUACGCGGAGACAAAACAUGGCUUAUAGAA
This 381-nucleotide RNase P RNA is filed under the name Planococcus maritimus. RNAcentral describes it as "RNase P RNA component class B". It matches the Rfam family "Bacterial RNase P class B". Rfam says of the family: Ribonuclease P (RNase P) is a ubiquitous endoribonuclease, found in archaea, bacteria and eukarya as well as chloroplasts and mitochondria. Its best characterised activity is the generation of mature 5'-ends of tRNAs by cleaving the 5'-leader elements of precursor-tRNAs. Lineage: Bacteria; Bacillati; Bacillota; Bacilli; Caryophanales; Caryophanaceae. The record is from RNAcentral.